AUGAACCUCCGUGUUUUUCAUCCUCUAGCCGGCAGAUACAACUGUUUAUCUCCCUGACACAUGAUGGAGGCCUCUCUGCCAUUUGGGUGUCCUGCUUCCUACUGGGCAAUGAUUGCAGGUGGAGUGGGAGGCCUUGCUAACAUGAUGAACAAUGUGGUAUAAGGAGCACUGGCUAAUUGUCUUGAACCUGUUCAUCUUCUCUUAUACCUAGGCCAGGUGAAGAUAAAGAGCAUUUGUGGAGGAGGAAGGCAGAUUCCAUCUCCAGAGCUCCAACUGCAUCCCUCAGCAAUAAACAGAGGCAUCAACAUUUGUAUAGAAGAAUGAGGAAGGAGAGCUUGCUCUCCUUAUAUGCACUUUCAUCUGGUGCUGCUGGAUCUGGACCCAGCACUGGCGUGCAGAGCUGUUCCUGGCAAUGGAAGCUGCCAGGCUGCCCAUCUACACUUCAAGCCUACCUGAGAUACCAGUCUUUAAUUUACAUUAAAGCCACAUUUACAGCAUGAUCCCCCCAAAAGUAGUACAUAUGCUUAGUAGUGGGAGCAAUAGUAGCCAUAGCAUGUGUUUUGUGUAAUUUUUCACCAGGGAUGGACCAGUUCCUCUAAAUUGAUUACUUUAUUUAGAGGGAUAAACCCCCCUGGUUUUCAUACUCCAGGA
Long non-coding RNA from Ficedula albicollis (Collared flycatcher), 651 nucleotides. RefSeq lists it as uncharacterized. The record is from RefSeq and is a predicted model, not a curated record. NCBI's taxonomy places the organism in Eukaryota, Metazoa, Chordata, Aves, Passeriformes, Muscicapidae. The transcript is spliced from 5 exons.